UACGGGGGGAGCAAGCGUUGUUCGGAUUUACUGGGCGUAAAGAGCGCGUAGGCGGCCCGGUAAGUCCGCUGUGAAAGUCAAGGGCUCAACCCUUGAAUGCCGGUGGAUACUGUCGGGCUAGAGUCCGGAAGAGGCGAGUGGAAUUCCUGGUGUAGCGGUGAAAUGCGCAGAUAUCGGGAGGAACACCAAUGGCGAAGGCAGCUCGCUGGGACGUGACUGACGCUGAGACGCGAAAGCGUGGGGAGCAAACAGG
Molecule: ribosomal RNA, 253 nt
Filed under: uncultured bacterium
Lineage: Bacteria
Description: partial 16S ribosomal RNA
Rfam family: Bacterial small subunit ribosomal RNA
Source: RNAcentral